This 27-nucleotide non-coding RNA is filed under the name Homo sapiens (human). The record is from RNAcentral. Lineage: Eukaryota; Metazoa; Chordata; Mammalia; Primates; Hominidae.
UCCUACGCCAAUGAUACCCAUGGAAGC